RNAcentral lists this ribosomal RNA (300 nucleotides) under Triticum aestivum (bread wheat). Its description in RNAcentral is "partial small subunit ribosomal RNA". The record is from RNAcentral. Lineage: Eukaryota; Viridiplantae; Streptophyta; Magnoliopsida; Poales; Poaceae.
AUGGUCAUCUUGAUGACAAGCUUGAGUUCAUCGAAAACGGAGUUUGCAUGCGUCUUCUAUGAUGUUUUCGAUGUUGGAGGUUUUACCGGUCUUAUCCGAGGAAGGGUUCUCACCAUUUUCUUUUGGGCCUUUUCUCAUUUGCUUCUUAUUGGUAUUUAUAUCAAGAUUGUGUUAGCCCUUGUCGCUAGCUUUCCAACAAACUUGGUUUCGUCGAAUUCGGAGUCCGUUUGCAGAAGUUGUGUUAGUUUUGGUGUUCUGAAAAGGCUGCAGCGGUACUACCGCGGACAGGAGCAGAUGUAA